AAAUUGAAGAGUUUGAUCAUGGCUCAGAUUGAACGCUGGCGGCAGGCCUAACACAUGCAAGUCGAACGGUAACAGGAAGCAGCUUGCUGUUUCGCUGACGAGUGGCGGACGGGUGAGUAAUGUCUGGGAAACUGCCUGAUGGAGGGGGAUAACUACUGGAAACGGUGGCUAAUACCGCAUAACGUCGCAAGACCAAAGAGGGGGACCUUCGGGCCUCUUGCCAUCAGAUGUGCCCAGAUGGGAUUAGCUUGUUGGUGAGGUAACGGCUCACCAAGGCGACGAUCCCUAGCUGGUCUGAGAGGAUGACCAGCCACACUGGAACUGAGACACGGUCCAGACUCCUACGGGAGGCAGCAGUGGGGAAUAUUGCACAAUGGGCGCAAGCCUGAUGCAGCCAUGCCGCGUGUAUGAAGAAGGCCUUCGGGUUGUAAAGUACUUUCAGCGGGGAGGAAGGUGUUGUGGUUAAUAACCGCAGCAAUUGACGUUACCCGCAGAAGAAGCACCGGCUAACUCCGUGCCAGCAGCCGCGGUAAUACGGAGGGUGCAAGCGUUAAUCGGAAUUACUGGGCGUAAAGCGCACGCAGGCGGUCUGUCAAGUCGGAUGUGAAAUCCCCGGGCUCAACCUGGGAACUGCAUUCGAAACUGGCAGGCUUGAGUCUUGUAGAGGGGGGUAGAAUUCCAGGUGUAGCGGUGAAAUGCGUAGAGAUCUGGAGGAAUACCGGUGGCGAAGGCGGCCCCCUGGACAAAGACUGACGCUCAGGUGCGAAAGCGUGGGGAGCAAACAGGAUUAGAUACCCUGGUAGUCCACGCCGUAAACGAUGUCUACUUGGAGGUUGUGCCCUUGAGGCGUGGCUUCCGGAGCUAACGCGUUAAGUAGACCGCCUGGGGAGUACGGCCGCAAGGUUAAAACUCAAAUGAAUUGACGGGGGCCCGCACAAGCGGUGGAGCAUGUGGUUUAAUUCGAUGCAACGCGAAGAACCUUACCUGGUCUUGACAUCCACAGAACUUUCCAGAGAUGGAUUGGUGCCUUCGGGAACUGUGAGACAGGUGCUGCAUGGCUGUCGUCAGCUCGUGUUGUGAAAUGUUGGGUUAAGUCCCGCAACGAGCGCAACCCUUAUCCUUUGUUGCCAGCGGUCCGGCCGGGAACUCAAAGGAGACUGCCAGUGAUAAACUGGAGGAAGGUGGGGAUGACGUCAAGUCAUCAUGGCCCUUACGACCAGGGCUACACACGUGCUACAAUGGCGCAUACAAAGAGAAGCGACCUCGCGAGAGCAAGCGGACCUCAUAAAGUGCGUCGUAGUCCGGAUUGGAGUCUGCAACUCGACUCCAUGAAGUCGGAAUCGCUAGUAAUCGUGGAUCAGAAUGCCACGGUGAAUACGUUCCCGGGCCUUGUACACACCGCCCGUCACACCAUGGGAGUGGGUUGCAAAAGAAGUAGGUAGCUUAACCUUCGGGAGGGCGCUUACCACUUUGUGAUUCAUGACUGGGGUGAAGUCGUAACAAGGUAACCGUAGGGGAACCUGCGGUUGGAUCACCUCCUUA
This 1542-nucleotide ribosomal RNA is filed under the name Salmonella enterica. Its description in RNAcentral is "bacterial SSU rRNA". It matches the Rfam family "Bacterial small subunit ribosomal RNA". RNAcentral also lists the same sequence under 2 other names. The record is from RNAcentral. Lineage: Bacteria; Pseudomonadati; Pseudomonadota; Gammaproteobacteria; Enterobacterales; Enterobacteriaceae.